RNAcentral lists this ribosomal RNA (506 nucleotides) under uncultured bacterium. RNAcentral describes it as "partial 16S ribosomal RNA". It matches the Rfam family "Bacterial small subunit ribosomal RNA", at positions 29 to 523 of the family's 1533-position model. The record is from RNAcentral.
AGUGAACGCUGGCGGUAGGCCUAACACAUGCAAGUCGAACGGCAGCACAGGAGAGCUUGCUCUCUGGGUGGCGAGUGGCGGAUGGGUGAGGAAUACAUCGGAAUCUACUUUUUCGUGGGGGAUAACGUAGGGAAACUUACGCUAAUACCGCAUACGACCUACGGGUGAAAGCAGGGGAUCUUCGGACCCCGCGCGAUUGAAUGAGCCGAUGUCGGAUUAGCUAGUUGGCGGGGUAAAGGCCCACCAAGGCGACGAUCCGUAGCUGGUCUGAGAGGAUGAUCAGCCACACUGGAACUGAGACACGGUCCAGACUCCUACGGGAGGCAGCAGUGGGGAAUAUUGGACAAUGGGCGCAAGCCUGAUCCAGCCAUACCGCGUGGGUGAAGAAGGCCUUCGGGUUGUAAAGCCCUUUUGUUGGGAAAGAAAUCCAGCUGGUUAAUACCCGGUUGGGAUGACGGUACCCAAAGAAUAAGCACCGGCUAACUUCGUGCCAGCAGCCGCAGUAA